GACGAACGCUUGCGGCGUGCCUAAGAAAUGCAAGUCGAGCGAGCUCAAGCCUUCGGGCGGAAAGCUAGCGGCGAACGGUCGAGUAACACGUGAGCAACCUGCCCCAAAGCGGGGGAUAGCCCACCGAAAGGUGGAUUAAUACCGCAUGUGGCCGUUCCGGGGCAUCCCGGGACGAUUAAAGCAGCAAUGCGCUUUGGGAUGGGCUCGCGGCCUAUCAGCUUGUUGGUAGGGUAAUGGCCUACCAAGGCUAUGACGGGUAGGGGACCUGAGAGGGUGGCCCCCCACAAUGGAACUGAAACACGGUCCAUACACCUACGGGUGGCAGCAGUAGGGAAUAUUGGUAAUGGGCGAAAGCCUGAACCAGCAACGCCGCGUGUGCGAUGAAGGCCUUCGGGUCGUAAAGCACUUUUUGGUAGGGAUGAGGAAGGGACAGUACCUCCAGAAUAAGCCUCGGCUAACUACGUGCCAGCAGCGCGGUAAACUAGUCUACG
RNAcentral lists this ribosomal RNA (491 nucleotides) under uncultured bacterium. Its description in RNAcentral is "bacterial SSU rRNA". It matches the Rfam family "Bacterial small subunit ribosomal RNA", at positions 28 to 536 of the family's 1533-position model. The record is from RNAcentral.